AAUAACCAUUUCCAAAAUAAGUGUAUAUUUUUGCAUGAAUUCCAUAGCUGCGUCAGGUUUCUCAGAGAUCAGAAUGAAAGAGGCAGAAAAAAGAAGUCCCUCCGAGUACGUAACAAAGAACAUACCGAGUGUGGAAAGGAGAUUGCAUGAAGCUGCGUCAGGUUCCUCGGAGAUCAGAUUGAAAGAGGAAGAAAAAAGAAGUCCCCCAGAGUACUUAACAGGUUCCUCGGAGAUCAGAUUGAAA
Long non-coding RNA from Actinia tenebrosa (Australian red waratah sea anemone), 244 nucleotides. NCBI's taxonomy places the organism in Eukaryota, Metazoa, Cnidaria, Anthozoa, Actiniaria, Actiniidae. The record is from RefSeq and is a predicted model, not a curated record.